RNAcentral lists this unclassified non-coding RNA (3183 nucleotides) under Hevea brasiliensis (rubber tree). Lineage: Eukaryota; Viridiplantae; Streptophyta; Magnoliopsida; Malpighiales; Euphorbiaceae. The record is from RNAcentral.
UUUUUUUUUUUAGAAACACAAGAAGCACAAACUACUUGCAGUAGAAAAUUAUAAUUACUGUGCAACAGAAUUCGGACAAACUUGUCCGUGCAUCCAAUGAAAAUGCAAAGACAUAAAACCACCAAACGUCAAUUUGACCCCAAUCAGAUAAGCCCAGAAGUCUGUGGAAAUCACUCAAGCACAAAACAUUCAAAACACAAGAAGACCCAGUGAAUAGAGACGUUGUAAUUACUCUCUAUCAAUGGUCACUAUUAGUGACGAUUGAGGAGUGCUUCGCGCAGCCUACUCUGAAGCAUUGGCCAGGCCUUGCAGCAUUCUCAAAAUCUCAGAUGUAUCUUCCAAGUAGUACUUUGCCUUGCUAGGCUUUUGGCCAACAGUGCAAGCAAAAACUUCAGCAACUGGGGAAAGAGAGGGGCCUGCCCUUGCAUUCAUUAUCACUUCAAACAUGUCUUCAUCGGACCUGUCAUCCCCAAUGCAGAGAACAAAAUCAGGAAGCAUUUCUUUCUUUUGCAUUGUUUCCAGGAGACAUUGUGCCACAAGUCCUUUGUUGACACCCUGAGGUUUAACUUCCACUAUGUGUUGGCCACUCUUGACUGAAACUGGCUCAUUUGCAAGAACACUUUCUAGGUGAUCUAGGAGCUCCUUAGCCUGGCAUGACCCAAAAUCUGGAUCUGCAUAUUGGUAAUUCCAUACUAGAGCACUCUCUUUGGUCUCAAUGGCAGAACCAUCAGUUGUUUCAGUGUAUAGUUUCAUUACUGGCUCAGCAAUCUGUUUCCAAUCAAAAUCUGGCACUGACACACAUGUUUCCCAAUCUGCAUCAUGAUUUGGCCUCGCAAAAUAACCAUGCUCUGCUGCAAUACCAAGCUUUUGACAAGAAGAAAACCAUACAGCUAGAGUCUCUCUGUCCUUCCCGCUAACAAUAAAAACUACAUUCUUAGGGUCUCUACAUAAAUUGUUCAAUAUUCCAACAGCCUCUGUGCUAGGAGCAGUACUAAUAGAACCUGGAAGCAUUAUAGUUCCAUCAUAAUCCAAAAGAAUUGCUCUAUUCUUUGUCCUCUUAUAAGCUGAAACAAUAUGUUCAACUGAAAGUUUCCUAAAAUUUGGAUCCAAAGCAAUUACCCGAAAACCUAGACCAAAUCCAAUUCCCCAACACCUCCUUCUCAAAUGAUCCCUGCAGGCCCUUUCAAGAUCCUGCAAAAAGCUGCGCGCCCAAUAUGCAACAUCAUGUGUACUCACAUACCUAUGGUGCUUCUCAUGUCGCAUCUGUUUUUCUGGCUCAGGGACUAUAAGAGCAGAAUCCAUAGCUUCAGCCACAGAAUCAAUGUUCCAUGGAUUUACUCGAAUUGCCCCACUUAAUGAGGGGGACCAUCCAAUAAACUCUGAAACAACAAGCAUGCUUUUUUUGGGAGCCAAUGGGAUUAGCCCCAAUGUCUCAUCCAGCUUUUCAUUUCCUUGCCGACAUAUAACAUACUCAUAGGGUAUCAAAUUCAUUCCAUCCCUUACUGCCGUAACAAGACAACAUUCUGCAAUAACAUAAUAUGCAAUCCGCUCAUAAAACUGGAGUGGAUUGUCAAUUAAAACCACUGGAUCAUAUCCUGGUGUUCCAAAUGUCUCAUUAAUCCUCCUCACAGUGGCCUUGGUUUCAGAUUGAACCUCUUGCACAUCCCGUCCUCUGCCUCUUGCUGGGUUUGCUAUUUGAACCAAAACAACUUCACCCCUCUUAUCAGGAUGUUGCAUGAGCAGUUGCUCCAUGGCCAAAAGUUUCAAGCUGAUUCCUUUAAAAAUAUCCAUGUCAUCAACACCAAGAAUGACAGUUUGACCUCUAAACUGAUCAUAUAGCUCUGCAACUUUUGAUUCUGUCUCAGGAAGAUUCAGCACUGAUUGGAGUUGACCUAUGUGAAUCCCAACAGGCAGAAUCUUUAUGCUAACAGUACGACCAUAAUACUCAAGGCCUAUGUAACCUCGCUUAGAUUGAUAAGAAAGACCAAGCAUCCUACUACAGCAAGAGAGGAAGUGCCUUGCAUAAUCAAAAGUAUGAAAGCCGAUCAGGUCAGCAUUGAGAAGUGCUCUCAGAAGUUCAUCCCUAACAGGAAGUGUCCGAUAUAUUUCAGAUGAUGGAAAUGGACUAUGGAGGAAGAACCCAAGCUUUACUCUAUUGAACCUCUUCCUCAAAAAUGUUGGCAAAACCAUCAAGUGGUAGUCAUGAACCCACACAUAAUCAUCAUCAGGGCUAAUCACUUCCAUUACUUUGUCUGCAAAUAUCUUGUUCACAGAAACAUAAGGCUGCCAAAGAGACCGAUCAAACCUGCCACCAAGAUCUGGUGAUAGCGGGAGCAUGUAGUGAAAUAAAGGCCACAAAUGCUGUUUACAGAAUCCAUGAUAGAAUUUACUAAAAAGAUCAGGAGGGAUAAAAGCUGGGACACAUUUGAAAGAUUCAAGCAAUGUUUGGGCUACAUCAUCUUGCUCACUAGGGUCAACCUCUUCUUUAAGACAACCAACAUAUAUAACUUCUACAUCUUCUCCAAGACCAUCUUUGAGUUGUAAAAGAAGAGAAUCCUCGUCCCAGCUAAAGCACCACUCCCCACUGCCAUCAGGACUUCGAUUUGCCCGAAGAGGAAGCUGGUUUCCCACAAUGAUCAUCCGUUCUUGAGAGACAGAUGAGGGGGCAUCAGAGCCAACACUAUUGCUAUUUUCAUCAUCUAGCUCAGAUAAUACUCCAGCAACAGUUGCCACUCGAGGGAGUCUCCUCCUCUCACUACCAAAAGUUGGGCGCUCACCAGAAGCAAGAUCCAAGAGGUUUGAAUACGAUCUUGAAACCAUUUUGAGGACAAAUAAGGAACCUCUUGUCUACCCAGAGAUAUAUUGCUUGUCUUGAAUCUAAGAAUUGAAAAUCACGGUCUUUCAAGUUGAGAUUAGAUUAGACAGAUAGGAAACUAAGAUUCUUUUCUUUUUCUUCUUCCUUGCUUGCUUCCCUGUGUAUUACAGGAGAAAGAGAGAGAGAGACAGAGUGAGUGGCAUUAACAGACCUUUUGCUUAGCCUUUUCGGUUUUCAAACAAGUUCUGAUUUGUGGGUAUUCUUUCUUUUCUUUUCUUGUCUUCUUUGCUUUUAGAUAUCAGACAAGAACAAAUGGGAUACCUUUGUAGAAAGAAUUUGAUUCUCUCAAACCUCACUCACUCACUCAC